GACGAACGCUGGCGGCGUGCCUAAUACAUGCAAGUCGAGCGCAGGAAGCCGUCUGAACCCUUCGGGGGGACGACGGUGGAAUGAGCGGCGGACGGGUGAGUAAUACGUAAAGAACCUGCCCAUAGGUCUGGGAUAACCACGAGAAAUCGGGGCUAAUACCGGAUGUGUCAUCGGACCGCAUGGUCCGCUGAUGAAAGGCGCUCCGGCGUCGCCCAUGGAUGGCUUUGCGGUGCAUUAGCUAGUUGGUGGGGUAACGGCCCACCAAGGCGACGAUGCAUAGCCGACCUGAGAGGGUGAUCGGCCACACUGGGACUGAGACACGGCCCAGACUCCUACGGGAGGCAGCAGUAGGGAAUCUUCCACAAUGGACGAAAGUCUGAUGGAGCAACGCCGCGUGAACGAUGAAGGCUUUCGGGUCGUAAAGUUCUGUUGUAAGGGAAGAACAAGUGCCGCAGGCAAUGGCGGCACCUUGACGGUACCUUGCGAGAAAGCCACGGCUAACUACGUGCCAGCCGCCGCUGUCA
This 524-nucleotide ribosomal RNA is filed under the name uncultured bacterium. RNAcentral's name for it is "partial 16S ribosomal RNA". It matches the Rfam family "Bacterial small subunit ribosomal RNA", at positions 28 to 523 of the family's 1533-position model. The record is from RNAcentral.